GCUUGGCCAGAUCGGACAUGUUCCCACGCUGAGCCACAGCAAUUUUCAAAGAAGCCUAAAGAAAGGCUUUGGCAUGUCAGUCGGUUUGCUCUGGCUGUCGGCAAAAAAAAAAGUUCCAAAGAAGUUCCGUUUGACACAUGGUGCUUUUCACAUGGUGCAUGCUUUUCAACAAGGAGCAGAUGGCCGACAAAGAUCGUUGUCAUGAUUCGUCCCCGGUCACGUCCAUGUGUCAUUGUUUUGUCCGUCUGUGUGCUCAUGUCCGUGGAUCAUGUGUGCUUCUGCCAUGUCUUGUCCCCAGUUUUGCUAGGUUGCCAUGGUUUCUGUUCGCGUCGCCCCUCCCCUCCUGUGUUCCCUCAAUCAAUGUAACCGCGUUCACCUGCCUCGUGUUUUGUGCUUUGUAUUUAAGCCCUGUCUGCCCCUUGUUCAUUGUCGGUUCGUUGCUUGUCGAUUGUUGCAUGCAAUCGCUGCUGUCACGGUCACGUCACCAUGUCUUUCUGUUCCACGUCUUGUCAGGCUUUUAUCCCAGUGCACAGAACGUGACCUGGAAAUCCACGAACUUUAAAACCAUUCUGACCUGGGAACCAUUACCAACUGAUUACUCAUACACCGUAGAGUUCUCUGUGGUUGCCAAGGACAAACAGAGGAAUUCUAAUUGCAUACGGAUCUCAACAACUAUGUGUGAUCUGACCAGUUCACUGACUGAUUUAAAUGCCUGCUAUGUAGCUGAUGUCCUGUCUGAACCCCCACUGGGAGUAACCUCUGACCUCACUGAGUUUCCAUACACAAGCUCCUCACGAUUCUGCCCCGCCAAUGACACUGAUAUAGGCAGACCUGAUUUCAAGCUAGACGUGAGCGACGACAAAAAGAAGACUACGCUGUAUGUGACUGACCCACUUACCGCAUUGUUUAAAGAUGAUCAUCAGUUGAACAUUAGAGACAUUUUCUUAAAGAAGCUACAUUAUAAAGUCACAUAUCGUAAAAACAAGAGCUCUGGCAAGAAAGUGUUCAUCUCUCAGACUAAUGUAAUAGAGAUGACUAAUCUGGAUCAAGGAGAAAGCUACUGUUUUAACGUUCAGGCCUUCAUUCCAAGCCGCAGCAAUAAACAGCUAGGAAAAUUGAGCCAAACUCAGUGCUCUGACGACGACAAACAAUCCAUCUUUGAGGGUGACUCUCCUGUGAAGCUCCUGAAGUAUGCAGACGACACCACUCUCAUCGGACUGAUCCAGGACGGUGAUGAGACUGCGUACAGACAGGAGGUGGAGCGGCUGGUCCACUGGUGUAGCCAAAACCAUCUGGAGCUGAACCCGCUCAAGACCGUGGAGAUGACAGUGGAUUUCAGACACCUUCAAGUUCCUGGGAACCACAAUCUCUCGGGACCUGAAAUGGACCGGCCACAUAGACUCUGUCCGGAAGAAGGCCCAGCAGAGGCUGUACUUCCUGAGACAGCUCAAGAAGUUCAACCUGCCGCGAGAGCUUCUGAAGACCAUCUACACUGCCAUCAUCCAGUCUGUCCUCUGCACUUCCAUCACUGUCUGGUUUGGAUUGGCCUCCAAACAAGACAAGCACAGACUGUAACGGACAAUCAGGACUGCAGAAAAGAUCAUUGGAAUCAACCUCCCAUCUAUCCAAGACUUGUACCUGUCCAGGACCAGGAAACGUGCAAGGAACAUCUCUACAGACCCUUCUCGCCCAGGUUGCAGUCUGUUUGAACUACUCCCCAGCAGACACGGAGACAGCUUCUUUCCCCAGGCUGUUGCUCUGAUAAACUCACACCACUCAUAGAGUCUCAGAGUCAUUACUGUGCAAUAACAUCCUCGUCACGUACUGGCGCCACCUGCACCAGGACCACGCCCCCCUAUCACCGGAAUUGCCGCCACCUGCCACAGCCUCAUGGACAGCGCUAUAUCAACGCCGCCAGCGCAGACCCGAGUGUCCGUCUGUCCCAUGAUAUUGUUUCGCCCUCCGGUCCACGACAAACCGACGUCCGUGAAGAAUCGAAGAUACAGCAGAACAGCUUGUUUUUCCCAGCCUGAUCGCCGAUCCAGCGCCGGCUUCAGCUUCGCCCACCUUACCCGCGAUAGCGGGCGGGGGGCCCGCAAUAAAGUCUCUAUCGCUACGCACUUGGCUGUACUCUCCAUUCCCUUACAGUACAGACGGACCAGGCUAUGCAGCCAGCAAACGAAGAGACGGCAUCCGCCCGGCUGGAGCAAGCCGAGACCGCCAUUAGCAGCCUAUCCGCCGACAUCCGGAGUCAGAUCGAGGUGGGCCAACGGCAACAGCAACAGCAGCAGGAGAUGGCCCAAGCCCUCCAGAGUUUGUCGGUGGCUGCGCCCCCAGCUGUCACGUGCCCCCGAGAGGGGGGCCCCGGCUUGUGACACGGUCGACGCAUUCGCGGAGGAAUUGCUCUGCUUGUUCGACCUGGGCUCUGCCGCCGAAGACGCCGCCGAGGAACUGGCGACGCUGCGUCAAGUUAGCCGAUCGGUCGCAGAUAACGCCCUCAAGUUCCAGACCCUGGCCGGCAGCAGCGGGUGGAACGAGCCGGCGCUCGUCAGCACGUUCCUCAACGGUCUCGCGGAGUACAUGAAGGACGAGCUAAUUUCCCGCGAUCGUCCGCGAACCCUGAAGGACGCGAUGAACUUGGCGGCCCGAGUAGACCGGCGGAUACGAACGCGGCGGCGCGAUCGGGAGCGGAGGCCCAUGGAUCUGGGAGGGGGGUCAUCGAGUGACAGGGUGCCCGUCAGGAGGCCGGGCUCACGCGGCGUCGGGGAUCCACGUGAGCUCGACCAGCACAGGCUCUCCCAGUCCCAGUACGCUCACGUUACAGGCACGUGUCCAGCUCGCGGCGGGCGACCGGAACGUGGCUGCCCUGGUGGAUUCCGGGGCGGAGGGUAACCUCAUGGACAGUUGCCUGGCACGCCAGUGGGGGGAUCAACUUCCUGCCUCUGAGCCCGCCCAUUCCCGCACGCGCCAUCGAUGGCCGUCUGAUCGGCGAGGUGGCCUUCGUGACAGAGCCAGUCAAGGUACUGCUCUCCGGCAAUCACCACGAGACCAUCCAAUUUUUUUUUCUUCCCCCCCCAGGACAGCAGCUCAUCCUGGGGCACCCUUGGCUGCGGCAGCACAACCCGGUACUGGACUGGGAGGUGGGGGUGGUUCGGCAGUGGAGCGAACGCUGCCAUCGGACGUACCUGAGGGCGGCCACCAGCCCGCUCGGUGGAGCCCCGCCCAGGUACAGCCACGACAUCUCCAUCGUACCGGCGGUUUAUCACGAACUCAAAGAAGUUUUUAGUAAGGCCAGGGCCACCUCCCUUCCUCCCCACCGGUCUUACGAUUGCGCCAUCGACCUGCUGCCCAGCACCUUCCCCCCCAAGUGACGCGUCUACUCCCUGUCCGCUCCUGAGCGCCGGGCCAUAGAGGAAUACAUCCGGGAGUCCCUGGCGGCCGGCAUCAUACGGCCGUCCUCAUCACCUGCGGGAGCGGGGUUCUUCUUCGUGGAGAAGAAGGAGGGCACGCUCCGCCCGUGCAUCGACUACCGGGUAAUAAACGCCAUAACCGUUAAGAACCGAUACCCCCUGCCUCUUCUGUCUUCUGCCUUCGAGUGCCUUCAGGGUGCCACCGUCUUUACUAAGCUGGAUCUUUGCAACGCCUAUCACCUGAUCCGCAUCCGGGAGGGAGACGAGUGGAAGACGGCUUUCAACACACCGAGCGGCCACUACGAGUACUUGGUGGUUCCGUUUGGGCUCACCAAUGCCCCAGUGGUUUUCCAGUCCUUAAUAAACGACGUGCUACGAGACAUCCUGGGCAAGUUCGUGUUCGUUUAUUUGGACGACAUCCUCAUCUUCUCCCGCUCGCUCCCUGAAAACAUCAAGCAUGUUCGGACGGUGCUACGCCGCCUCCUGGAAAAUUCGCUCUACGUGAAGGCAGAGAAGUGCGAGUUCCACGCCUCCUCUGUCAAGUUCCUCGGCUACGUGGUGCGCGAGGGAUCCGUCGAGAUGGACCCAGAGAAAGUGCAAGCGGUCACGUCAUGGCCUGUCCCAGAGACAUGCUAGCGGCUGCAACAAUUCUUGGGGUUCGCGAACUUCUAUCGCCGUUUCAUCCGUGGGUACAGCACGGUGGCCGUGCCCCUCACCGCCCUCACCAGCCCCGCCUCCCCGUACAAAUGGACGGAAUGGGCAGCACAGGCGUUCCAGGAGCUCAAGAGGAGGUUCACGUCCGCUCCCAUCCUCCGAGUCCCCGAUCCUGACCGGCAGUUUGUGGUCGAGGUGGACGCCUCAAACGUGGGGGUUGGGGCGGUGCUGUCCCAACGCAGCUGCCAGGACGAUCGCCUCCACCCGUGCGCUUUUUUUUCUCGCCGCUUGUCGGCCUCGGAGCGGAACUAUGACAUCGGCAAACGGGAGCUCCUCGCCGUCAAGUUGGCCUUGGAGGAUUGGCGGCAUUGGCUGGAGGGCGCCACCAUGCCGUUCAUCGUCUGGACCGACCGCCGCAACCUGGAGUACCUGAGAUUGGCCAAGAGGCUGAACGCGAGGCAAGCAAGGGGGGCUCUGUUCUUUGACCGGUUUGAGUUCUCUCUCUCCUACAGGUCGGGUUCCCGCAACGCGAAGGCGGAUGCCCUGUCGCAUUCGUUUCCUGGCGGGGAGGAGAAACGGGGUCCGCCUCCCACUAUUCUCCCUCGGUGCGGGUGGCGGCGCUGUCAUGGGAGAUUGAACGCCAAGUAGAAGCUGCAUCACGCGAUCAGCCCGGCCCCAGCAACUGCCCGGAAGGUCACCUGUUCGUCCCUGAGGGCCUGCGCUCGUCCGUGCUGCAAUGGGCACACGACUCACGCCUGGCCUGUCAUCCCGGGGCUGCGCGCACGAGGUACGUGGUGGUGCAGCAUUUCUGGUGGCCCACCUGGCAAGUGGACACCAGCGAUUACGUCAGAGCCUGCUCAAUAUGUAACCGCUGUAAGACCUCUACUUGUCCUCCGGCCGGGCUACUCCAACCCUUGCCGGUUCCCCGGCGUCCCUGGUCUCACCUGUCCAUCGACUUUGUCACGGGCCUUCCCCCCUCGGAGGGGAACACGGUGGUCCUCACGGUGGUGGACCGGUUCAGCAAAAUGACGCACUUCAUUCCUCUGCCUAAGCUUCCGUCCGCGAAGCAGACUGCGUCCAUCAUGGUGCGGGAGGUGUUUCGUCACCACGGCCUCCCAGAGGACAUCGUGUCGGACCAUGGCCCGCAGUUCGCUUCCACCUUCUGGGCGGAGUUCUGCCGACUCCUCGGCGCUACGGCCAGCCUCUCGUCGGGGUUUCACCCUCAGUUCAAUGGUCAAGCGGAGUGGCUGAACCAGGAGCUGGGCAGGUCCCUCCGAUGCAUGGCCGCCGGGGACCAGCGUUUGUGGGUCCAACAGCUUCCUUGGGUGGAGUACGCCCACAAUUCCCUCCCCAGCUCGGCUACGGGACUGUCGCCCUUCCACUGCGUCUUCGGGUACCAGCCACCCUUGUUCGCCCACCAGGAACGUGACACGGCGUGCCCAUAGGCCCAGGCUUGUGUCCGCCGUUGUCGUCGUGCCUGGGCGAGGGCCCGGACCCCUCUUCUCCGCUCUGUUUCAGGCUACGCCCGCCAGGCAAACAAGCGCCGGUCGCCGGCUCCGGAGUACAGAGUGGCCCAGCGGGUGUGGCUCUCGACGCAGGAUUUGCCGCAGCGAAAGAGAUCCCGCAAGCUGGCGCCGCGCUUUGUUGGACCGUUUUCCAUGCAGAAGCCCGUUUUUGAGAGCGCAUUGGUGCCCGUGCCGCCGCCCCAGCUCAUUGAGGGGGGCCCGGCUUACGCCGUCCGCUCCCUGCUCUGAUCGCGGCACCGCGGUCGUGGCUUCCAAUACCUGGUGGAUUGGGAGGGCUAUGACGACGCCCACCGCUCCUGGGUCCCGAGUCGCUGGAUCCUCGACCGUUCGCUCAUCACGGAGUUCCAUCGCUGUCACCCGGACCAACCGGGCCCCCGGCGCGGACGGCCGAGGAUGGUUGAGGGGCCCAGGGGUAAGGGCCCGAGGCGGCCUUCUCCGCCGGUGCCGGAGACGAGGAAUUGGACGUUUCGACGGAGUACUAACCCCGCCUGGUCGUCCGGGGGGUUGCCUUCCUCUGCCUUCUGAUUUUUUUUGUCUUUUAGUGCUCUGGGGACGUCGGGAGCCGUCCCUUGUGGGUGGGUUUCUGUCACGUACUGGGGCCGCUUGUGACAAGACCACGCCCCCCUAUCAGCGGAAUCGCCGCUACCUGCCACAGCCUCAUGGACAGCGCUAUAUCAACGCCGCCAGCGCAGACCCGAGUGUCCGUCUGUCCCGUGAUAUUGUUUCGCCCUCUGGUCCACGACAAACCGACGUCCGUGAAGAAUCGAAGAUACAGCAGAACACCUUGUUUUUCCCAGCCUGAUCGCCGAUCCAGCGCCGGCUCCAGCUUCGCCCACCUUACCCCCGCCCGCAAUAAAGUCUCUAUCGCUACGCA
RNA transcript from Syngnathus typhle (broad-nosed pipefish), 6464 nucleotides. RefSeq lists it as uncharacterized. Lineage: Eukaryota; Metazoa; Chordata; Actinopteri; Syngnathiformes; Syngnathidae. The transcript has 8 exons. The record is from RefSeq and is a predicted model, not a curated record.